UACGUAGGGUGCGAGCGUUAAUCGGAAUUACUGGGCGUAAAGCGUGCGCAGGCGGCUUCUCAAGUCAGGGGUGAAAGCCCAGAGCUUAACUCUGGAAUUGCCUUUGAGACUGAGAGGCUUGAGUACGGGAGAGGUGAGUGGAAUUCCCAGUGUAGAGGUGAAAUUCGUAGAUAUUGGGAAGAACACCGGUGGCGAAGGCGGCUCACUGGCCCGUAACUGACGCUCAUGCACGACAGCGUGGGGAUCAAACAGG
This 253-nucleotide ribosomal RNA is filed under the name uncultured bacterium. RNAcentral describes it as "partial 16S ribosomal RNA". It matches the Rfam family "Bacterial small subunit ribosomal RNA", at positions 524 to 776 of the family's 1533-position model. The record is from RNAcentral.